UACGUAGGGACCAAGCGUUGUUCGGAUUUACUGGGCGUAAAGGGCGCGUAGGCGGCAUGAUAAGUCACUUGUGAAAUCUCCGGGCUUAACUCGGAGCGGCCAAGUGAUACUGUCGAGCUAGAGUGCAGAAAGGGCAAUCGGAAUUCUCGGUGUAGCGGUGAAAUGCGUAGAUAUCGAGAGGAACACCUGAGGCGAAGGCGGGUUGCUAGGCUGACACUGACGCUGAGGCGCGAAAGCUAGGGUAGCAAACGGG
Molecule: ribosomal RNA, 253 nt
Filed under: uncultured bacterium
Lineage: Bacteria
Description: partial 16S ribosomal RNA
Rfam family: Bacterial small subunit ribosomal RNA
Source: RNAcentral